AGAGUUUCUACUUGUGUCUCUCCUCCUUUCUCCGAUUGUAGUCUCCGGCUACAAGUCGGAAGACGUGAAAUCAUGGUGUAGCCAAACACCCUACCCUCAACCUUGUGAGUAUUUUCUGAGCCAUAAACCUGACCAUUCUCCUAUCAAACAGAAGUCCGAUUUUCUCAAAAUAUCGAUGCAGCUGGCAUUGGAACGUGCCCUUAGAGCCGAAAGUAACACCUAUUCGCUAGGCUCAAAGUGCCGAAACGAGCUCGAAAAGACUGCAUGGAGUGACUGUCUUAAGCUCUAUGAGUACACCAUUCUUAGGCUUAACAAAACUGUUGAUCCCAACACAAAGUGCAGCCAAGUUGACUCUCAAACAUGGCUCAGCACUGCCCUAACAAACCUCGAAACCUGUCGAGCCGGGUUCGUCGAGCUCGGUGUCUCGGACUAUCUCUUGCCCUUGAUGUCCAACAACGUUUCCAAGCUCAUCAGCAACACUCUAUCACUCAACAAGGUCCCAUACACUGAGCCUAGCUACAAAGAGGGGUUCCCAACUUGGGUCAAGCCUGGUGACCGGAAGCUUCUGCAGUCAUCUUCUCCGGCUUCACAGGCAAAUAUCGUGGUGGCAAAGGAUGGUUCCGGUGAUUACACAACAAUAACAGCAGCAGUAUCGGCCGCGUCGAAGCGAUCGGGGACUGGAAGGUACGUGAUAUAUGUGAAGGCAGGGACAUACAAUGAGAAUAUUGAGAUUGGAGCUAAAUUGAAGAAUAUCAUGCUGUUGGGUGACGGUAUCGGAAAGACCAUCAUCACCGGAAGCAAGAGCGUCGGAGGAGGCUCCACCACCUUCAAUUCAGCCACCGUUGGUAAACAUCCGAGCUCCUAUAUCAAUCUUUUAGAAAUCAUAUAUUCAUUUCAAAGAAUUAUAUACUGAGUCUCCAAGAAAAUAAAUGAGAAUAGCGAUUUGAAGAAUCUACUAAAAGUCUAAAAGUAUACUUUAUGGAACUGGUAUAGAAAAACUAGACGAAGAAAAUUAAAAAAGUACAUAUAUAUAUAUAUAUAUAUAUAUGAUGAAUGAAGUGUUCACAUUCAAGGAGACAGUAGUUUGCAAGGCCAACUCGCUAGUGAGUGACCCAGCUGAGUUGUCAACUCAAAACUAAGUCUAAGACACGGUUGGAAAUUCUAGGUAGGUCUUUGUAAGCUGUCUAGAAAUUCGAACACUGAGCUUCUAUUGUUGACAAAAAGGCUUCAGUUGUAUGUUAAAAAAAAUUAAUUAAUAGCAGAAUGUCAAGAGGGUAAUAAUAUUUUCAUUGAUAAAGUAAAUGUUAUUAAUUUAAUAAAUACAAAAGACUAUAGAAUAUGUCAAAUAUUUUCUAAUGGCAGCCAAUGGGGGUCGAGUUGAAUUUGAGUCGAGUCGGUGAGUUUCAUGCUGAGAUUCUCUAGUAAAAAAGUGCUUUACGUCACACACAGAAACGUCCAGAUAAAUAAGGUCAACCAGCUAAGGGACGAUGCAUCACAUGGCUUACCGUUUAUGGGACCAUAGUUUAGCUACCUAGCUUGAUGGUCCUGGACCCCAAAACCCUAUUGGAUAAGUCCAAAAUCUGUACAAUUUUUAUACGUAGACCCCGGUCCACCAACAGAACAAGUCAUACAAAUUGAUGUGUCUGAUUUGAUUAAUUAAAUUAGACAACAGAGAUUGCUUGUGCCGAUCAAACAUUGUCCUAACUACCAUUAAUUUUUUCAAUUUCUUGAAUUCCUUAUAUAGCAUGGAGUGAAACUGACAAAUUCAUCCCCUAAACUUUAAACCUUUGACCCUAAACCGCUUGUUUUGAACUUUCAGCUGCGGUUGGAGAUGGAUUCAUCGGUCGAGGGCUGACGAUCCGCAACACUGCCGGAGCAGCAAACCACCAGGCAGUGGCUCUCCGGUCGGGGUCCGAUCUCUCGGUGUUCUACCAGUGCAGCUUUGAAGGGUACCAAGACACUCUCUACGUCCACUCCGAGAGACAAUUCUACAGAGAAUGUGACAUCUACGGAACAGUAGAUUUCAUUUUUGGCAAUGCUGCAGUCGUGCUACAAAACUGUAACAUUUAUCCCCGCAACCCUCCCAACAAGACUAACACAAUCACUGCCCAAGGAAGGACCGAUCCCAACCAAAAUACCGGAAUUUCCAUCCACAAUUGUAAGGUUACUGCUGCCUCAGACCUUAAAUCGGUCCAAAGCUCGGUGAAGACAUACCUUGGACGUCCAUGGAAGGAGUACUCACGGACCGUCUUCAUGAAGACGUACCUCGAUAGCCUAAUCAACCCUGCAGGGUGGAUGGAAUGGAGUGGUAACUUUGCCCUAAAGACACUAUACUAUGGUGAAUACAUGAACACCGGUCCUGGUUCAUCGACAUCGAAUAGGGUAAAUUGGGCUGGUUACCAUGUUAUAACGAGUUCAUCGGAAGCGUCAAAGUUCACCGUCGGAAACUUCAUCGCCGGCAACUCUUGGUUGCCGGCAACCAACGUGCCUUUCACCUCCGGCCUUUGAAUUGCUCCAUUUCAAUCAUAAGGGGAUCAUUUCAUGAGAAAAAUAAGUUGGUGGGGUGUCCCAACAAUUAAUACCCUAGAAGAAUAAUUGGUAAAUAUAUUGUAUCAAUCUAUGUACCAUAAUGCAACUCCAAAUGGGUUGUCAUUAUUCUUUGUUGAUUGUUCUAAGCAUAAUAUCUAAUGAAAUUAUUUUAUUAUAAUCUUCUUUUUUUAUUUUUAAAGGUCAUACCAUUUCACGACGGCGCAUGAUAUAUAUGAAAAAAUCCAAAUAAAUUUGGUCCUGCAUUUUAGUUAAGAUGGCAACAUCAUUGACUGUGUCUAUGUAUUUAUAUUUUGGGUCCAAAUAUCAACUUUAUAAACUUGAAGUGACAUAGAAUUAAAUCUAGAAGAGAGAAAAAUUCAAACACGGGUAGAGAAACUUGUGUAUUAAUUUGCUUACGUAAAUCCAUCAUAAUCCAAUGAUUUGAUAUUAGGUUGGGGCCUCUUGAGAACUUGACAAGAGUGUGAACAUACGAGGAUGGAAGAAAUUAGAAUAUUAUUAAUGAAAUAUGAUGACCUAUAAAACAGUUUGGAGAUGGCAAAUUUUCAAAUUGGUUGAAAGUGUCAAGGAAAGUGCUGAGAGAGACAGAGAGAAAGAGAGAGACAGAGAGACAGAGAGACUCUUGGAAACUUGACAAGAGUGUGAACAUAUAUGAGGAUGGAUGAAAUUAGAACAUUAUUAAUGAAAUAUGAUGACCUAUAAAACAGUUUGGAGAUGGGAAAUUUUCAAAUUGGUAGAAAGUGUCAAGUGCUAAGAGAGAGAGAGAGAGAGAGAGAGAGAGAGAGAGAGCCUCUUGGAAACUUGACAAGAGUGUGAACAUAUGAGGAUGGAUGAAAUUAGAAUAUUAUUAAUGAAAUAUGAUGACCUACUGGAGAUGGGAAAUUUUCAAAUUGGUAGAAAGUGUCAUGGAAAGUUGAGAGAGAGAGAGAGAGAGAGAGAGAGAUUUUGAGGCUUGAGGUUAAAGCCCCAACAUGUGGUACCUUGGUAGCUUGUAUUGGGCCAGGUAGGGGGCCUUUAUUUGGCCCCUUAGACCUUAAAUAUUACUUUGGGCUUCAUUUGUUGGGCUCGAGUGGUCUAUUGAGUUAGUCCUUAGAAUGAUCAUUACUUGAUUACCAUGAAAAAUGAGAAAGAAAAAAAUAUUGAAAAUUUGAAGAAAUAAAAAAUAAAAAAGAAGGUGCGAGAAAAGUUUACUAAAACAAUAGUAUAUAGUACUCAUAAAGAAGGAAGACGUGGGUGUUGUUUGGACAGCAUUAAUGGGGAAUAUGAUGAGCAGCCCUUUUGAAGAGGAUAUAUCAAGAUUAGAAUAGGAAGCAGCCACUUUAUACUAGAAAGAUAGAGCCAUGCAUUCACCUUUUUUCUGCACUUCCAUAUUAAUUAAUGUAUUAACUUUCAAAGUAGAUAACGCAGAAGCUGUCACAUGAACAAUAACAACACCAAAACAUUGAGGGAUAACCCUACACUUUUACUCCAUUCAAUAAUAUUCCAGAAAACCAAUCAACCCCAUGAUGACAUCUCAUUCUCUCUCCACCAUCUUCUCAACCUGCAUCAUAAUAUUCAUCAUGUUAUGAUGAAAAUGGAAAUGGGAAAUUUGAAACAUGAGGAAAAUUUUGAAGGAUUUACCUAGUGCUCGACGUAAAAAUGAGAGAAGAACGACGACAAUGGCGAGGCCGGCUAACACCCCUACGAUGAUUGCUACUGUUUUUCCGACUUGGUCCUGGUUGGAGGAGGAAUCUAUACCAGCACAAAAGGAAAAGGAAUGGGAAUUAGUACUGUGGAUAAAGAUUGACAAGAUACUAACCAAUGCUCCCACUACCACAAUUUGUUUGUCAAUUCUUUAGUUCAAGUAGGUGUUUGCAGAUGAAGUUUGCUUUUACUAUUUGAUGAGAAAUAAAAGAUGGGAAUGGUCUAAGAUUUGCAUUUUGUGUUGGUGGUUUUGGGAUGGUUGUUCUAAGAUUCCAUCUUUUCUUUUCUCUUUUUCCUACAUUUUCUUGGCCACCAAACAAGCUUUAAGAAAUAAUUGAUGGCUUGGUGCAAAUCACUUUGUUGAAGUGUGGAAUUAAUUGGCCUACUCUUGUUGAUGGUUUAAUUAUUAAGUUGAGUGAAGCAACACUUUCUGGAUUCAUCAAACAGUUGGUCUCAAUAUGAUUGAAAACAAAAAGAAAGAAAAGAAAAGAGAGACAAGAUAAAGGAAGAGAGGAAUUAAUGUCAGCAAAAAUGAAGGUGUGCCCAAAAGAAAGUUAAGUAAAGUGGCAUUACCACCCCCAUGAUGCUUUACUUUAUAAAAAGAUUGCUUGUUGACUCUUAGGGCUUUGAAUUUUUUCAAAUGGGCUCUCCCUUUUCCAUCUCAAAAACUCUGCCCCUCUUUAUCAAUUCACUAUAUGCAUCAAAACCUGCAAAUGCCCUCAUAUUUUACUCACUCAACAGGAAAAAAACAUACCCUUUUUCCCUUUCUUUUUCUUCUCUUAAUUUAUCAUUAUCAAGAGGCUUAUUUCUGUUUCUUUUUGCUCCUUCUAACCUUGUAAAACAUCUAUACCCUCACACAGGUGAUAGAUAGAGAAUACCUAAGAGCUUAAGACAGCUGUUUUAAGGCUAAUAUGAAAAAUUGUUAAGUAUGCAACAAUGCUGCAGUCUCACAAAAAAUGCCUAUUAAAAAUGAUUCUGUGAUAAGUGUGUAAGACCGAAGAUAAUCUGAUAUCAGUAUAAGCCUCGGGAUGUGUGAGUGGGUUAAGCCACACUAUAUACCACAGGAUUGAACCACAUAAAGACUACUAGCUUGACCUUAUUAAUAACCAGUUGGUUUACAGAUGAGAUGAUUAAACCCUAUAUACUAACAAAAAAUUUGUAUAAUAAGGGGAAAAAAUGCCCAUAACCAAUUGAUUUUUGGAUGAGAUAUUAAACCGUAGAUACUAACAAAAAUUUUAAAACAAGGGAAGAAAAUUUUGGGGAGGAGUACCUGAAGAGAAAUCAUAGUAGCCAGAAGCCCAGUACCUAGCAUAGCACUGUGACAAGAACACAUCUGAUGCAGAAGCUGAUCCACACAGAUUCUUCAGCUUUCCAACAGCUUCAGCAAGACAAGCAGAGCAAUCACCUGAGCUCAGGUCCCCUAAACACUGGGCAAAACCUUGAACCAACCCUGAACUACUGACUCGAAACCCAGUUGCAGUCUGUAAGUCAGCAAGAACAUCGUCCCUUCGCCUAUAGAACUCCACAUCAUUGCUCACGCUCUUACUACACUUCUUGUACAUAAGGCUCGUAUCCAGCCUCCCCAAGAAGUCCACAUGCUCAUACCUCACGUAACAGCCUUCCAGCUGCAAACCAGCCCCAUAGGAGUACGGACAAACCAGACUUAUUUGGCUAACUGCACUCUCAAUACACCUUGAGCAGUCAGUCGUCUUCAAGUCGCCUCUGCACUGAUACAAACCAUACACGGCCCCCUCCGUUGAGGUUGAGCUGCCAUUUCCCAUGGCGAAGCUAUUGUAAGAGGUCUGAGGGGCAGAGCUCACAACUGAGGCCAGUAAAGAAUUGAGGCUGCCUUCAAAGGCUGAGUUUGGUUGGUACUUUUCUUGGGAACAGCCUGCGUAGAUGAAGAUGUGGGAGUCGACGAGGCGGCCAUGGCUGUUGAGGGAGGAGAAGAUGAAGAAAAGAGAGUAAAGUCUGAGUGCAAAGAUGAAGAUAUUGUCAGUAGAGUGUGGUUGAAGGCUUCUCAACAUUUUCUUCUUUAGCCUUCUCAUCCAAUUUUUUUUUUCUCUUGUUUGAUUUUGGGUUUGGUUGGGCUUCUUUUUUAAAAAAGAGUUUUUCAUGUGGAGCCUUCCCAAAGAAGAAAGGGCCCAGUUGGUCAUCAAUGGGCCUACUUGUGUGUGUGUGGAUUAUUAUACCAUCUUUUCUAAAAGUUGUACUUUCACUCGAGAAUAUUGUCAUAAAUAUGAACAAACACCAUUCCUUUUUAACCAUGGUGGGGAUCUGUGGGUUUAUGGCCUUCAAAUGAUUUGGAUUGUAAAGAUGGUCAAUAGACCUUUUUGUAUCUGAGCCCAGCCCAAUGUUAACUGGGCUAAGGAGACCAGCCCAUGAAAUAGGUGGACCAGAAAGGCUUGAAUUUGGAGGUGCACGCACUGAGUGGGUGGAUCCACCCAUGAUUAUAUUGUUUAAUACUUUCAUCUUCAUCCAAGGGAGAAUAUGGCAAUGGAAAUGAAAAUGAUUUUCUAAAAUAUCUUUUUUUUUUUUUCAAAAUAAAAAAUCACAGAUAUUUCUUUUUGUUACCGUUGAAAAUGUUACGGUCUGGAUGCAAAGAAUAAUUUAAAAAUAAACCUCUCUUAAUAAUUUAAUAAAAUAAUUUUCUAUUUCACAAGAAGAAGGUUUUCCUUACGGAAGCAACACAAUCUUAAGCAAUUUUUGAAAAAUCGUGUAUGAAGUUGACGUAUCCUUACCCUUACCUUACUUGACAUAAGGCUAAGGAAGUUAGGAACUUUUGAUGAAAGAGGCAUUAAGGAAAGAAUUGUGACUUUUCAUAGCCGUAAUAUGACAAAACUCCUUAUAAUUAUUAAACAACUUAAAAUCAAUGAUUUUCAUUCUUUUCUCUUUCCUCAUACUUUCAUAAAUAUUUCAAUUGAAUUCUUAAUUUUAAUUUUAAUUUCAAUUUCAAUUAUUUCCUUUUCUUUUUUUUCCCCAUUUCAUUUUCUUAGAAUUUAGUAAACACCCCAUAAGAAGGUUUUCCUUACAAAAGCAACAAAGUCUUAAGCAAUUUUUGAAAAACCAUGUAUGAAGUUGAUGUACCCUUUCCCUUAUCUUACUUGACAUAAGGUCGAGAAGUUAGGAACUUUUGACAAAAAAGGCGACGAGGAACUAAACUCUGAAGAACGAUGAUUUUUCAUAAUAGUAAUAUGAUUAAACUGUUUAUAAUUAUUAAAUAACUUAAAAUCAAUUAUUUUCAUUCUUUUCUCUUUCCUCAUAAUUUCAUAAACAUUUCAAUCCAAAUUCUUAAUUUUAAUUCUAAUUUCAAUUUCAAUUAUUUCCUUUUCUUUUUUUUCCCCCAUUUCAUUUUCUUAGAAUUUAGUAAACACAUAAGAAGGUUUUCGUUACGGAAGCAAUAUAAUCUUAGUGUGAAGUUGAUGUACCCUUACCCUUAUCUUACUCGACAUAAAGUCGAAAAGUUAGGAACUUUUGACAAAAAAGGCGAUGAUGAACUAAACUCUGAAGAACGAUGACUUUUCAUAGUCGUAAUAUGAUCAAACUCUUUAUAAUUAUUAAAUAACUUAAAAUCAAUUAUUUUCAUUCUUUUCUCUUUCCUCAUAAUUUCAUAAACAUUUCAAUCAAAAUUCUUAAUUUUAAUUCUAUUUUCAAUUUCAAUUAUUUCCUUUCCCUUUUUUUUUCUUUUUCCUUUUCCUCCAUUUCAUUUUCUUAAAAUUUAGUAAACACCCAUAAGGUAAUGAAACUCAAGGCAAGUUUUAAAUUUGUGUUCAUCCAAACAAAGCCUAAGCAAUGAAUGGUUGUGGACUCCUUCAAGUUUCAACUUCUCAAAAUUUGAAGUGGCCCUCCUUUUCACAAGCCAUCACUUGCACAUCUUGAUUGAGCAAAGACAUCCCCAAAUGGCAAACCGGAAAGAUAAUCAUCUCUUCGCCAUUAUUCCAUUGAAGAUGACACAUUCUUUCCAAGCUACAAACUCAUCAAAUUAUCCUAACCACCCAAUUAAAUAAAACAUUAAUAUACCACACCACCUUCCUAGUUCACACAACCCCCCACCAGCCCAACCCUCUUUUCUAGGGCAUAGUGGUGAAGGCUUGGCAUGCGAGUGGAUAUUUCCUUCAAAUGAAACCAAGUCCAUAAGGUAUGAAAAUGGUUUUUUUUUUUUUUCCCCUUGUUUGUAAUGGGUCCAAUAUAGAGCAACUUGUUAUAUUAGUUUUGUCCGAUCUGUGUUGGGUGUUUAUUUGUUUUUAAUUAAUUUUAAAUAUAACUUAAAACUAAAUAUUAUUUAAUAGUACUAAGUAUUAGAUAGUUUGUUUUUAUAAUAUUUUAUAUCUGUUAAACAUUAAAAAUGAAAGAAAAACUAAUAUAGUACUUUUUUCUAUUUAGGAAAAGUUGAUAGUGUUUUGUUUUUUUGGCUUAAUAUAAAAAGUCAAAAUAUUUUGUUUUUUAUAUUCGGUUAAAAGUACCAUAUUGAUAUCAAUCAAAAUAACUAAACUAAACCUAUUAAUAGCAAAUUCACUUCAAUUAUCUUAAUUGAUAUUAACAUGUUAAUUUUACCUUAAUAGAAAAAAUCAAAUAUUUUGACAUUUUUUAUUCAAUCAAACAAAAAUUACCACCUAAAAUCAUUUUUCAUAUUUAUAUGAUUAUUAUUCAAAAUAUUCUCUAAUAGAUAAUUAAAAUAUAUUAUCAGGAAAAAAAAAAACCUUAUUUCUAAAACAAAUUCAUAAAUACUAUUUUCUAUCAAAAAUUAUUAAAUACAUUUUCAAUCUUGAAAAGUCAGGUUUUUAUUUUUAAGUAUAGAAAAUUGUUCUUAAAAAUAUUUUUUGACAAACUCUUUUUAAUUUAAAAUAAUUUUAAUUAUUUUUCUUCUCUUGUCCUUUAUCUCCCUAUUUUCUAUGCUACACAUUUUUCCACUUAUUUUCCCCCAACAAACAUGGAAAGUUUUCGUGAAGGUUUUUCCAUAUGUAUGUAUACAAGAGAGUCGUGUUUGACCAACUAAAGCCAUGGAUUGUGGGGUGGGUUUGGGGCAUAUCCAAAUCGUACAUUUUUUUUAGAAAGGGGGUUACAUUCUACAUUGUACAUCAAUAAUGAGGUAAGGGAGGUUGAAGAAGAAGUGUCAUUUUCCUCCCAUCCAAACACUUUUCCAACAAGCAGAGAAUUGAUUGGUUGCAGCCUUGCAGGAAUAGAACUUUUCUUUGCUUUCCAAUUUUAAUGAUGAAAAGGGUUAAAGGCACUCUCUUCAUCCUUUAAAAUUAUUUACUUGAACUUAGAUUCCACUCUCACCAUCUUAUCAAAUUAUUAAAUUAUUUAAUAGUUUUUCAGUGGAAUAUCUUUAAUUUUGUUUUCAUAAAUGGGAAUAAGAUGGAGGAUGAAAUUAUUCAAAGGAAAAAAAAAAGAAAUAAAAUAUUAAAAGAUCCAACUUAUUUGGUUUUGGGAAAGUUUGAAGAAAAAAUGGGAGAUAAAUAAAACAAAGAGAAAAUAUAUAGAAAAAGAAAAAAAAAUAGAUUUAAAGAUAAUAAAUUUAAUUCAUGUUUAUAUUCAGUUUUUUUUUAAUAAUAAAAUAAAUAUUUUAUUAUGAAACAUAACUCUUUUGGACAAAAACUUUAACACUUUAGGAUAAAAAAUUAAUGAUAUAAAAAUGUUAAAAUAAAGUUCAAUACUUGAAAAUUAUUUUUUCAAAUAUGGGUAUCUCAUUAUUUAAUAUUUUUUUAAUAAUUUUAAUAAAACAUUUUUAUUGAGAGUAGGGGUGAUAGGGUAUGUACCACAUCAAGAUCCCAAAAUUGAACCAUUCACACAUUCAACAAUCACUAGUGGGGGGUGGGGACUCCCUUUAUUCACAUAUAGGAGUGAUUCCCAUCGUAGAUUCUCCACUACCCCCACCAUUUAUGCCGAUUAAGACCCUUGUGGUCACCAUUACUAUUGCACACACAUCUUCAACUAUAUCAUAAAGUUUAACAUUACUCAACUUUAAAUUAAAUUUAGAAAAAAAAAAUCAAUUUAAAUAAUUUUAAUUCAAUACUUCUCAUUGGUUUAAAAAAACCUAAGAGAUGACCAAUAAAAUUAACAUUAGAGUUACUUGUAUUUAAAUAAAAUUAAUCUCUUAAUAAUGGGUUUAGGAGUGAUUUUAGAAAGCAUUUAUAAUAUUUAUAAUACUUGAAUGAUGAAAAAUUUUAAGUAUUAAAAAUAUUAAAAGUUUUUUUUAUAAUUACUACCAAACAUAUUCUAAUCUUAUCGUUAAUCAAUUUAUUAAUGGCGAGGGUUCAAGAAAAAAUCUUUACAUAUACUCACAACUAGUAUUACAUCAUGUAUUAAAAAGAGAAAAUGAAAACAAAAUAAAUAUCAAGAAAAAAAAGGCUAAAACAAAAUUACUAGCGAAUCAAUAUCUUAAUAAGAAGUUUAUCAUCAUCAUCAUCAUCGUCAAUAAUGGCAACCAGCUGAGUAGUGCCGCCUCCACGUCAUUUUUCGGCAGCCCUGACAGGCGGCGAUCCUCGUCUGUACGCUCUCGAACUCCGAUAUCCGGCAAGGUAUGGUGAUGCCACCUGGGUGCUGAAACCCAUACUCCUCCUCGGAUUCUCUCAGCAACUCACCAAACAAUGGGUGGUUGAAGUAUAUCACCGGCACAAGGACUCGCUGGAAGUCGCCGUCUUUUUGACCCACGUACACCGCCAGAUGACCUUUCGGAACCGUCGCCGCUGGCAUCUCCUCACCCACCGGAAGGUAACCGGAGAAACAAGCCGGACCCGGGUUCAACGAACAUAUCCUCUUGGCUUUGGUUUUGAGACGUUGACCCCAGUUGCAGAGUCGAGAAAUGGUCUUGGUCUUGCCGGUCGAUUGCCCGAGACGGUGGUACCCAGAUGGGUUUCGGCUUCGCCGGAAAAACCAUCCGCAGAACUUGACGACCCGUUUUCCUAGUUUGAAGCCCCUGAUCUUUCUCAUGGUGUAAGUAUUUGAUGCGAGAGAAAAGUUCAGAAACUAUAAAUUCCCAGAAUUUUCAAAAGAAAUGAAAAGGUAUUUGGCUCAGGAGAAAGGCCAUGGAUCUGCAACAGACAUGGCGAGACGGAAGAGAGUGAGACAGACUUCAGAGAGAGAGGUGGGGAUGUUGGACAUGUUGCUGAUCACUAGUUUCGCAGAAGAAGUAUCUCAUGAAGAUGUAAUAAAUAAAGUAAGCCACACCUUUUUGUCUUAAACCCUUUCUCUCCGUCAACACUUAACGUUGGCAGUGGAGGUGGCGUAGGUUGCGGCUAUCGCGGCGGUGGCGGUGGAAGAGGAGAAUAUUGUGAGAGUUGAAACAAAGAGGAAGGUAGAGAGAUUUAUAGCGAGACACACGGCUGUGAUUUGGUCGGCACGCGUUGGAGACUUAGAACAGUAUACGAUCAAAUAAGUCAAAGGUCAGCUGAAGCAACGGCCAGAUGCGAGUUCCUGCGAAGAUGAGUAGCCUGCCAUUACAAUUCUUAUCUAAUUAAAACAAACCAUAAAGGAAUAAUUUCAUCCGUACACAUAGAAUACUUUCUUCUCAAAUGGGCGGAAGAAAAAUAUGUCAUCUACAUCUCUUGAAAUAGAAAAAGGUUGGAAUUAUUUAAUUAUUUGGAAUAUUUUAAUUUCCUUUAAAGAUAUUGACUUUUAUAGAUAUGAAAUUAAAUUAAUUUGUUUUCUAGAAUUUACAACGAUUUUCAAAAAUUAUUCCCUAAAAUAGGAAUUUCAAAUUAGAUUAUUCCUAAACUAGUUUUUAUGUUAAAAUAUUUUUAAAUUAAAAAUUGUUAAAUACAUUAUUUAGUCUGAAUUUAAAAACAAAAACAAAAACAAAAAAACAAAAAAAAUCAAUUUUGAAAACAGUCGGCAGCGUGCUUCGUGGAAUCCUGGCUUGCAUUUGGAGUGAGAGAAAAUGGUUUCAAAGUAGAAAAUUACUAAAUUAGAGAGAUUUCGGAGAAACUCUACACCUAACGACGUAUACUUUUCAAAUACGUGACAAUGCCGUCAAAAGACCAAAAGGCUAGUCUCCGAUAAUUAUCGUACUGCACGAAUACAUUAAUCUCCUGCAACCUCCUUCUUUCUGCCGACACGUGGCUAACACGCGGGUCCCAUUUUCCAAACAAAAUGAAUAAUUAAAUGCAGUGGGACCCGCAUCCAUCUAAACGGACGAAGGGUUAUCCGCCUAACAUCCAUAUUUACUAUAUAAAUAAUAAAUAUUCCAAACCGUUACGUGUCUCCACGAGCAUAAACGUUUGACUUUAAAUUCAGAAUGGUGUGGACCAUUCUUCAGUGCACCUGAAAAACACUCUAUAAAAUCUCCUUCAAUAAAUCAAUUGAUCAAAAUGGACUCCGGCGCCUUUGACCUUAAAUACUCAUUUCCGUACAUAUCGUACGCACUCCGUACGACGUCGUCUACAAACGGUGCUGAAAAAUAUGUGGGCCCAGGUGAUGCCAAUUUCCAAAAGUGGUAGGCCCAGCCCACUUUUUCCCGGAAGGAGACCAUGGGCUGUCCUUUAUUCUUUUCCCCAACCGGUCCAGAAAAAUGAAAAUAUGAACAAGCUUUUGAAAAUAAAUAAAACAGAAGACAAAUCAAAUCAAUGUUUUUGUUGUUUUCAGAGGCUUCAAUUUCCAAGUCCCAGCAUGAAAUCUAGUGAUUUGGGUUAGUACAAAACACCCAAAAUUUUGCUUUGAAAAUCAAAAUCUUUGACAUUGGAAGAAAAACCGAAAGCAGAAAAAUGGGGACCAAAAGGACAGAUGUAUGGCGUGUGGAUGAUGGAGGUUGGCGUUUGGUACAAAAUUGGCAACUACUAGCACCAUAGAUUGUGGUGGAACUUUAAAAACAUUUUAUAUUGAAUUAUCUUUAUUUGACUAACCCAUUUGUUGGGCCCAAAAAAAUAAUUAAAUUAAUUUAUUUAAGUUAUCAUAUCACAACUUUUAACAUUCAUUGGUUUUAACAACAAUAAUACAAUGAUAUAAAGUGGAGUCUCUUAAAAGUGGAAGAAAUAUUAAUUUAAUAUCAAUAAAAAAAUUUAAGGUUACAUUUUAACUUCUCAAUCUCGGACGGAUUUUACGCUUUAUCUCCCAUAUUUAAAACUCAAGACUUUGUUUUCUAGAUUUGUUAAAAUGCACAUUUAUUACCCAAGUUCAAUAUUAUCACACUUCGUAGUUAUAUGUAAAAAUUACGCAUAGUCAUAUGAAAAUCUCUUUAAAAUAAAAAUUCAGAACUGAUAAUUAUUAUAUUUUAAAAAUAUUUAAGAAAUUUCACUUUAAGAUUAACAAUUUAAAAUUGAUUUUACUUAAUAUUAUAUUAGUAUUCAAAUUAAAGUACAAAAAUGAUCAAUUUUUUUAUGUAUAAUUUUAUCGAAGAUUUGUGAUUAAGGGCAAAAUGUCGGGUUUUAAAUAUGAUAAGGUAAAAUGUAGAACAAGGGAUUUAACCCUAAUAAUUAUGCAUGGCACAAAUAAUCAAAGAUAUUUAUUUUUUAUUAUUUGAAUGGUUAAACUAUUUAUUAAUGAAAUUAUUAAAGUCAAACUUACUUUUUCUUUUUAAUCCUUUUUUCAGACAUUUCAAGAUUGAGAUAAAAUUCAAUAUGCCAACUACCAGUUGAAAACUUUGAUUCCAAUACUUGGUUGACACUAGUAACCCACAUCCAAAGCUACUUUUCCAAUUGUUUCAAACCUAGCUUUUGAAAUGUGGACAAACAAAUUAUGUGUAGAGCAUAUAUGCAUAUGACCUAUUAAAGUGAACAAAGCUAAACAAAUCUUGACAAAAGUGACAAUGAGAUAGUGAUUUUAAUUUUUAAUUUACCCUGUUGUGGAAAAAGUGUAUUGGCAUGGGUGAGAAGUGGAAAACACAAAGGGCACAAGGACACAAGGACAAUAUAUGGGAUAUGUUGGUCCCCCUAAAAGGUGGGGUCAUGGGUUUUAUUUUUUUAUUUUUAUAUAUUAUUAUUAACUCUAUCUUCACUUUAAGCAUAAAGUGAGAUUGUGAUAAUCUCUUUUUGUUUGUAGGGGAUGGGGGUAUUAAUACAUUCUAUUUUGUACGGAUGUUAUUGUUUAUAUAAUUUAAAAUUUAUUAUAUAAUACAGAAUUCACUAAGGAUGAUAUUUUAAGGUUAUAUUUGGUUGACGGGAUAGGAUAAGAUAUGUAUAUCUUAUCAUAUCAUAUUUUAUUUUAUAAGUGAUGAAAAAUAAGGUUUCAAGUUAUAUUAUAAAUAGAACUACAAAUAUGUGAACCCUUCUUUUCUUACCGGACAAGAGUUUACCUUCCUUUUCACGGAGGAAAAUUAUAAAAACUUCGUAAAAUGACUUUUUAAAAAAUGAAAAGUGUAUGUUUCUUUUGUAUUCAAAGAGAAAGAAAGAAAAAAAAAACUUUUAUUUAUUUAUUUAAUUGUGACAGUUUCAGUUUUAAAACUCUUAGAAAUUGCUCUUCUUAUUUCUCUUAUUUAUUGGGUUGGGUCAACUCUCUUGGGCACCUAAAUUUAACUUCAAUAAUAAGAAAUGCAUAUCUUAAUAUAUGAUUUUUAAUGAGAUAUGAUAUCCUUAAAUAUUAAAUCCAAUAAACAUGAUAUCCUAAGAUAACAUAUCCAAUAUGUUAUGUUUUUUUAUAUUUAUUUUGUAGAAUGAAUAAAAAAUAAAAUUGAAUAUAGAUUAUUUUUUAAUGUUUAAAAUAAAAAUUAUAUUAUAUUCUAAUAUUUUUAUAUUUAAAAAAAUUUAAAUUUUCUCUUAAAUUUAACACUAUUCAUGAUUAAUAUAUUUAAACUUUAGAAAUAAUUUUUUUUAUUAUUCUAUUCAAUAUAUAAAAAUAAUUUAUAAAAUAAGUAAUAUAAAAAAUUAAAAUUUUGAUAAAAAUAAAUAAAUGUAUUAUUCAAAAUCAAUUCUCAAUUAUUUUAGGGUAUAAUUUUUUUAGGAAAAAAUUCUAACUUAUUUUAUAGGAAUGUAUAUUUAUAUACAAAAUAAAAAUUUUCAAAAUAUUCUCUAUUUUUAAAUUAUUAUUUAUAAAACUUUAUAAAAAUAACUAAAAAUACUAUUUUUAUUUUAAUAACAAAUUCUAAGAAAACUAUUUAUAUUUUCUAAAUUAGAAAACAACCCCUUAAUUUUUUGCUUUUAAUUUUGAGUUAUUUGAUUAAAAAGGUCAUUAAAUACUCAAAUUUGGAAAUGUAACUUUUCACCUUUUAAUUUUUUUUUUAUUUACAAAAACGCUCUCAUAUAUAUGUAUAUUUAGGUAAAAAUAACUUUUUCCUUUAAAAUUUUGUAUGUAAAUAACUGAAAUGAUUAAAGAUGUUUAUAUUAAAAAUGGAUUAAUUUUCAAGUCAAAAUAUAAGAGAGGUUAGAUUUAUAAAUUUUAGAUUAUUUAAUAUCUUUUAUACAAAAAAAAAAUGGACGAUAAAUUACAAUCAGGAUUAAAAUAAAAUUGUUCAUAUAAUCAAAAUUUUAUAGAAUAUGCAAGAUCUUAUAGUAUGAACUAAAACAAUACCUCCAAUAUGGCAUUAUUCUUUUAUAAAAUAUUGUAUAUAUUAAUAUAUUAUUAUAAUAUUAGAUUUUUUUAUAAAAUAAAAAAAGUUAUUAAAAAUAUCCGACAAAGUAAAUAUAAGAAAGUAGAUAGAGAAAUAUAAGGAAGAAUCGAAAACAUCGGACAAAGAAAAGACUUGUGAUUCGAAGUGUAGAUAUAAAUAAUAAGGGAAAUAUGAGAUGUUUGGAGAACUUAAUAAUUGUAUUAUCAUAUGUGGACAUAGGCAUGGUUAAUCGAAUUAAGUUAAAACCUUAUAUAUCUUUAUAUGAAUUGUUUUUAUUUUUAUGUCAUUAAACUAACAUCUUUGUAUUAAAGCUUUUAUUCACACAGCAAAUAUCAAAGUUUUGGUUGAACAUUUUUGAAAGAACCAAAAAUGGCCUUAAAAUGGAUCAAGGAAAAAAAAAAAGAAAAAGCCACCAGAUUCAAUCUAGUUAUCAAAUGCAAAUUCAAACAUGGUCUUGAAAUUGAUUUAAAAGUGCGUUUAGAAGUAAUUUUAGAAAGCGUUUAUAAUAUUUAUAACACUUGAAUGAUAAAAAAUUUUAAAUAUUAAAAAUAUUAUAAACAUUUCUUAGAAUCACUAUCAAACAGAAUCUUAUAAUGCGUUUGACAACGAUUUUAGGACGUGUUUUAAAAUUUUUAAUACUUAAAAAUUUUUGUAUUCUAAAUAUUUGAAAAAUUAGAAAUAUUUUCUAAAACCACCGUGAGGCUGAUAAGAUAUUUUAAAUUUUUACUAAAAAAAACAUUACUUAAAUGAUGUUAUCAUGAUGUAAACGACGGUUGAGAAAUCAUUUUUUUUUUCAUUUUAAUCAUUGUGCUUAGGCUUCUAUUGAAGUUGAAGAAAUAUGAAUAUGACUAAGGUUUAAUCAUUGUACUUAGCUUUCCAUUGAAGUGGAAGGAAUAUGAGUAUGAUUAAGCUUGCAUUAUAGACCAAGAACCAUGAAAUUAAUGAUCGAGAGAUAAAGAAAAGUACAUACACUACCAACUGUAGCAGUUGGGGGGGUGGGGGUGGUUUUGAAAUCUACUUCACUUUUAAUGAUUAGGUGAAUACCACCACCUCACUCCAUGACCAAUCAUUAUAAUCAAUAUACCAUUAUUGGAAAAUCAAAGCCAACUGGCAAAAUUUCACAAAAUAAAAAAUAAAAAAUAAAAAUGUAGUUUGAGUAUGUGAUGUGGCCUGUGGGAUUAUUCCAAAUGUUGAUUAGCUAAAUGCCACGUCAUGCAUGGUCAUCCAUGAGAUCAAAAUUUCAUACUAUUUAAAAAAUUAAUUAUAUAAAUAUGUAAAAUAAUUAAAAAUAAGAUAUUAGAUAUGAAAUUUAUUUUUAAAAUAUAUAUAAAAAUAUUUUAGAUUUUUAAAUAAAUUUUAUUUUAUAAAAUAUUAGAGAAAAGUGAUUUCCCAACACCAUUUGUAGAUAUUUAUUAUGAUAUAACGUCGCAAUCAUUUGUACCAAAACCUGUACCUGCCAUCCCUGACCAAGAGGCGCCGUCCAAAGGCUUUAUAAAAUUAAUUUAUUAUGUGUCCAUUUUUAUUAUAAAGUAUUUUUUUUAAUUAAUUUGUGAGCUCAUCCGCCAUUGAAUAUAAAAUUAAGGUAGCCUACAUUUGUUUUUCAUCUUCAAUUAAAAUAUAGUACAUUUCCUUGGUCGACACAACGUGGUGGAGAUUCGAACCUAAUGAAGGGAAAAACAAAUUUGAUUAAAUUCUAAAUAUAAUUUUUUUGACAAUAAUAAUAAUAAUAAAAAUAAUAAAAAUAAUAAUAAUAAUAAUAAUAAUAUUGUUUAUAUGUUUUUGAGACUAGCGUGGAAGGCAUGCUUUUUUAUUAUAAUCACAUGUUGAGUUUACUUUAAGAAUUCACAUUGAAAUGGUUGACCUUCCUUUUUUUUUUUCUUCCCUCCCUCUUUCUAUUUGAAUGUAUUCCCUAUCUCCAAUGUAAAAAGGAAUAUAAAUGUGAAAUUUUGACCCAAAAUUUUGGGACUUGAGGAUUCUUGAUGCAAAAAUCAAAAUAAAUGGUGUCCAAUCCAACUUUUGCAUUGACUCAAAUGCUUUCGAUGAUUAAUUUUUUUUAUACUAAUUAAUUAAAUUUAUUAUUGUAAUAAUAAUUUUAUUAAUAUUUAUUUAGUUCAUUGUUUACUAUCUUGUUUUUCAUAGAAAUGUAUAUUUGACCCAAAGAGAUCUAGAACUCGAUGGUAAAUGUCAUGUGAGAAUAUACAAAAUCUUCUUGAAUAGAGCAUGUUGGGAAAUAAUAUUGAGUUUCCUAAAUGAUUGAUAAUGUUAAAUAUCCUAAAAUGUUUGAUCUAAAUUUAUCAAAUAUCAAUUGAUUUUUAGAUGAUAUGAUCAAAAACACGAUUCAAUAAUUAGUAUCAAAUUCAUGAUUAUAUGAGUCUUAUGUUAAGGGAAAGAUUACUAAGGUACGAUAACCAACUUAUAAGAUAAACACAAUUGACUGUAUUAAUCUUGAUAGCUACACCACCCACAAAAUUUAAAGAACCUAAAGGAGCGUAAGUCAUAUAUUCCAAAGAACGCCAUUCUUGAUCAUUCUUAAGUUUGAAUAUAAGUCAUCAUAGUCAAUAUGGAGCGUUGACCCGAUCAAAGCUAAAAAAUGAGUUGUUUCUUUGCUCCCUAAGGGAGUUGAGAACCCCAAACCAAAAGGUUGGCUAGUACCCACCUUACCAUUGGGGCAAAUUUGCCCCUUAUUAAUUGUUCUAAUAUACAUAUAUAUUAAAAAGUUUGCAUAUACAUAAAAUAUUAAAUCAAUAUUUUAAACAACGACUUAAUUAGAAUUAUUUUAUAAUUACAUAAAAAUUUUCAUUUUAUUGAAUAGAAAAACGUUUUUAAUAUCAUUAAUAUAUUAAUCAAAUAUUAAAAAAUUUAUAUAUUAUAAUCAAAUAUCAUAAUAUUAUUAUUGAAUAAUAUUUGAUGUAAUUUAAUAAUCAAUGUACACUUAUAUCUAUAUAUAUUAAUUUAUUUAACAAAAUAACUUUAAAAUAUCUAUUAUACUUCUAAUUUCAUUUCUAAAAAUUUUGUUUUAUAUUUUCACAGGUUUUGAUCAAUUUUAGGUCAAUCGAUAUUUUAUAUUAAAAUAUCUACUGAUAUAUAUGUGAUUACUGAUAUUUUUAUUCUAAGUCAAAGACUAUAAAACGUUUGAUCUAUCACUAUCAUUGAUCAAUUAAUUUUCAAACAAGAUAUUCAAAAUCCAAUUCAAUACUUUAUUGUAAAAAUUGGAUAAAAAAAUCUCUCAUUUUAAGUUUAUUUUUAUUUUAUUUAAUUUAAUUUUCUACAUUUUUAUUUAAUUAUGCAAGACCUUCCUUAGUAAUCACCCAAGAAAGUUGAUGACAGAUGGGUUCAACUCAUAGCCAUUAAUUACAUUUAACUUGACAUCAUGCCCUUGAAAUAAGGCUAUGAAAAUUGAAAGACUCUUCCAAAAUCGAAAUCAAGACCCUUCUAGCGAAUUGCAUUCAAAUGACACAAAUUCCAACUUCUGAACGAUAUUUCUUCCUUGAAUUAAUUAUGAAUACGAUGGAUAGUGAUGCUAACCAUUUACAAAUCAGAAAAGUUGGAAUCCAUAGCUUUCUGUGAUCACGAUGGGAGAUAGUGAGACAGCCAUGCAUCAUAUCAUUUUAAUAAGGUCUAUUGGCCUUGGUUCCCAAUUUUUAAAUUGUUAGUUUACAAAAUAUGACAUAUAAUCUUAUAAUAAUGUGAUUUAAAAAUAGUUUUUUGUUUUUAAAAAUAAAAAAACUGUUUUUAAAAUUUUGUAAUACUGUUUUGACCAUUGUUUUUUUAAAAACAGUUUUUAAAAAUAAAGUGAAAUAAAAAAACGUUUUUUUAUAGAAUAAAUAAAAGUUCUUUUAUCAAUUUUAUUUUUUUUAAAGGAAAACAUGGACCCUUAAACUAUGUUUUUUUGAAACUUGUUUUUUAAAACAAGUUUUAGAAAACAUGGUCAAGCCAUAAAUUUCUCAUUUCUCGUUUUUCUAAAAAAAAAAUAAAAUUAAGUCAUUUUCACAAGUUGUUAGAGCACAAAGUAAACUUGUCCAUGGGCUUAGAUCCAAUAUGCCCAUAAGGCUUAUUGCUUUUGGGGCCUACCAAGAAAUGAUGGCCCAUUUAGAGACAUUUACAGCCCAUCCCAAUUAACCCAAUUUUUUAAUAUGUCUCCCCUUAAGUAAUAGCAUCUGAAAAAUUAAAAGCUAAUUGACUACGAGGCGGUGCAACUUAACAAUGCCAUUUGGAAAAACUUAAUAUUUAUUACUUAAUAAUUUAAGUUGACUUAUAUUAUUUUUAAGUUGUUAAUUUAAAAUUUAUUAUUUAUUUUUUACUUUAAGUAUUAAUAUUGUUCGAUAAAAUUAACUUUAAAUUUAUUUUAAGUUACUAAAUUGAUAUAUUUAUCCCCAUUAGUUAUAAUUAAUAUUUAUUAAUAAAAAUUUUUAUUAUGAAUUAUGAAUGUGAAGUCAUAGUUAUUAAAUAUAUUAUCACUAGAUAUGGAUAAAUAAGACAAAAAAAAAAAAAAACUAGAAUUAAGAAUAAAUUAAUUAUUUUAAUACUUAAAGUCAUUAUAACUUUAAGCUAUGAUAGUAAGUUAUUUUAUUAAAAAUACUUAAAUUUAUUUUAAGUUAUUAAGUUGGUUUAUCAAAUAUUUUUUUAGUUUAUAUUUGGUCAUAGGAAAUUUUGAAAGAAAGAAAGUAGAGAGAAAAAUUAAAAGAAAAUAAAAAGUAAUAUAUAUAUAUAUAUAUAGAUUUAAAUUUAAUAAAUUAAUUUUAUAUAUUACUUUAAACUCAUUUUAUUUAUUUUUCGUCUUCCAUAUAAAGAUUAAAUAUUCUAAAAACAUCAAAAUUUUAAAGCAAUUUUAAUUAUAUAUGAUUUUUAUUUUGUAUUUUCUAUGAUCAAAUUAAACAUAAGAAUAUAAUUUUUUUUAACAUUUUUUUUCCUUAUUACUUUCCGAAAACCAAACAUAACCUUAGGGUUCACAUCUAUGUCUCAAACCUGGAUUUAGCUUUAAUGCUACUUGUUAUAUAGUUAAGGCUUUAAUCAUCUCAUUUGAAAACAAAUUCACUAUUAAUUAUGUUUAGAUGUUACAUUAAAUUAAAUUUUUUUUUUGUUCGACAUUAUACUCAUAAAGAAUUAUGUACUGCAAUCCAUAAGGCCCAUACCCCAUAUGAGUAUUGGGCUUGUGUAUUGCAAUCCGUAAGGCCCAUACCCCAUUUGAUAUUGGGCUUGUGUAUUGCAAUCCAUAAGGCCCAUACCCCAUUUUUGUACGGAAACUUCAAUAAUGAAAAUUCUGGGAUGUCGGCCCAACCCAGUGAUUUCUCCGAUUUCAGCCCAAUUCAAGUGAAGGCGGGUUAGCCUGCUUAGUUUUUUGGGCUGCUAAGUUGGGCCAGCUUGCAGCUCUAGUUUUUAUAGACACAUAUUUUAACAUUAUACAAUCAAGUUAAAUUUUAGUAUCAACAAGGAUUGUAUGUCGUUGGUCUUUAUAUUACAUUUGUAGAUCAACCAACAACCUCACCCAAAUUUUCUUUUUUAAAAAACACAGAAAAGAAAAAAAAAAAAUCCAAAAACCAUUUUUUUAAAAGAUGAUUGAAAAGAAUAAUUUAAUAAAAAAUUAAAAUUACUUCAAAUAUAUCAUUUUUCAAAUAAAAUCAUCAACUAUAAUUUUCUUUUUUUUUUUUGAAAAAACUACGAAUUUUAUGUUUUUUUUUUUAAAUUUAUUUUAAUUAUAGAAGAUUAUGGUUAUAUUUGAAAAAUAGUUUCAAAAAAUAGUUUUUAAAAAUAUUUUUUAAAAUAUAAUAUAUGAUACAUGAGACUAAGGGUCUCCAAAAAGCCUGCGGCCAGCGGCCCGCUUUAGGCCAGGCCCGGCCCAAGCCCGCCCCGAUCCCGUUUAUGGGCGGGGCGGUCCGCGGGCCUAAAUUUAGGCCCGUCCUUAGGCCCGCCCCUUUAAAAAAAAACUACAAAAAUAAAAAGUAUUAAAAAAAAUAUUCAAUUAAUAAACAUUAAAGGAAUGUAGCUCAAUUGGUUAGAACCUUAAAAUUUAAAUUUUUGAAAUCCAUUUUGGCUUAUUUAAAAAAGCCCCCCGCUCAGCCCGCUAGCCCGCGGGCUCAUAGGCCGGGCUGCGGACCUAGCAUUUUAGCAUGGCCCUACCCGGUCCGGCCGAUUGACCAGUCAACGGGCCCAUAGGCCCGGCCUGAGCUGGGCCGCGAGCCUCCUAUUUAUGGCCCGGUCCGGCCGUUGGAGACCCCUACAUGAGGCCUCCCAUCAAUCCAAUGAUACAAUUUUGAAAUAAAAAAAAUUCCGAGAGAAAAAAGAAGAAAAGAGAAGAUUUUUUUAUUAUUGGAUUUUCUUAAAAAUAGGCAUGACGUUAUUAAAGUUUAAACAAAUAUAAUAAGACGAAAUAAAAAUUAAUUUAUUUUUACUUAAAAAAUUAAUUAUAAUAUAAUAAGUAAAUAAAAUAAUUAGCUUUAACAUCCCCUCAAACUCACUAUUAGUUAAAUAAAUAAUUUAAAUUUUUCGGGUUUAAGUUAAAUGUAUAUAUAAUAUUCUUUUUAAUAUAAAAAAUUAUUUUUUAUUUUUUAGUUGUUAAACAUGUUUUUUUUUUAAUUAUGAAAAUAAUUGUUUUUUUUAAUAGUACAUCCCUUACUAUUAUCAUUAUAAUUAUUAUAAAAUUAAUUUAUUAUUAUUAUUACAGACGGGUAGGAUUUGAUUUCUAGUCGAUGUGAAAUAUAAUCAGUUGAUGCUUGCACUCCAAAGUCCAGACACAGGAAGAAAAAAAGGAAAUGAUUUAUAGUAGAGUUUUCCUUUCACCCAAAAACCAGAGACAAGUACAAUACUGAACGAAGAAGAAGCAUACACAGGUGUGGAAUUGAAUUGAGAAUUCCCAACUGUAAUAACCGUCCAUUCAAAGAGGCAAAAAGGGAAGAAGACCCAGUGAGGAAGUGAGGAUCCGGAUCCGAAAUUCACUACCCCAAUGAUGGAUCCGAAUCUGGAUUUGCAGGAAUCGGGCUGGGAGGAACUCAGGAAGGAGGCUCGUAAGAUCGAGGGGGAUCUUGAUGUGAAGCUAUCUUCUUAUGCUAAGCUUGGUGCUAGGUUCACCCAAGGAGGUUCGUUUUUCUCAUUCUACUGUUUUUUUUUUUUUUUUCUUUUCAAAAUGAUUAUGUGAUUGUUUGUUUUUGCAUUGCAUUUUGGUUACUGGCCCUGAUUUAAAAAAAAAUGGGGAAUAAGUGAGAUUGAAGUUUUGGGUGAGAUUGUCGUUAUUUGAUGAAUUGGGAAUUUGGGUUUUGUUUAUUUUCCUCUGUCUUUUCAGCAAUCAAAUUGGGUUUGAAAAUUGUGGCUUGGGAAUUCAAAUAUGAGAUUGGAAUGGAGAAUUGUGAGAUUUUGCUGAUCUGAAAUGGGGUUGGGUACGUUAUUUUCGGACAAUUUGAGAGCUUUGACGAAUGUUAAUGGGUUUGUGAUGAUGUUCAUUCUUGAAUAGAUGGAAAACAUGAAGGGGAAGUAGCAGGAAUUCGUGGUCAUGAAGUAGGGAUUAAAUGGAACAGAAUUCACGGAGUGGUAGAGUUGUGGAACCACUUGUCUUUUCCUUAUUUUGGACCUUACAGGGACGGAAUGAAAUCUUAGAUUAAAGUAUUACAUAUGAAUGGUAUAAACUCCCGAACAAGAUCUCUUGAAUAGUGAACAACUGGAGUCUAUUACAUAGUUUAUACAAAAAGUUCUAAUUUUUUGCUUAACGGCUUGUGCUGGCAAAGCUUGUUGAAUGAAAUAGCUAGAUCUAGGUCCAUUUAUUCAUCUGGUUUACAAGUGAUUAAUAGUUUUGAUGGAUAAGUGAUGAAGGAUAUAGAAUUAUAGACAUUGAAAAUUGGCGGUAGCUCCAAGUGUGGGACCUAGUCAAAUUGACAGAAGGACGUAGAAAUUUAUGAUUGCAACAUAAGGGGGCACAUGAGGACAUAUGUGUGGUAUAUUUAUAAAAGAGGAAAAAAUGGGGUAGUCGAAGGUGCAACAGACUAGUGGUUUUGAUGGUGAUAUGAUCGUUGUUGAAUAGUCUAGAAGAGUGCAUUGGUUUUGCAUCUUCUUUUGAUAACUCUGAUUGAGGUGUUGACAAAGGGGACGCAUAUUGUAUUGAUCUUACUCUUGCAAUCUCACGCAUUGUUUGAUAGGAAUUGACAGCUAUGAUGAAAUGCAAUUCUUUCAGCAUUUGGAUGCAUAUUCCCCAAAUUUCUAUCGUAUUUCAACCAGAAGGGAUGGUAUCAUUGUUCCUGUAUCAGUGGGAAGUAAAAAAUUGCGAAGGGAGGAGGCAUGAUAUUCAAGAAAAAGUCCAUAUAAUUCGGCAAUUAUUCCAGUGAUGAUUGUAAUUUUGAUUCCUUCCAUUUCCAUGUGUGAAUCAUUACUUUCCUUUUUGUUAAUCUUGAUUGCAACUCCCAUUCUCCAUCCCGACUCUGUGUAUGGCUCUAUCGAAGGUUUUGGUUGUUCGGAAUUAUUGCUGGAGAUCCCGUGUUCGUGUCUACAAAUCUACAUUGUAGUGAAUUGCACCACUAUAAAUGGACUCUGAUGCAUGCCAUCCAUAUAUGAACCGAUAAAGUUAGGUGAGGCAAAUUGCCUAAUUUGCUGAGUCAUGAUUUCUUUCUCACACUUCAAGGUGUUUCAGUUUGAGGCUUUGCACAUGUUCCUUUACGACUGCCUAGCUUGAUCUGAUGGUUUUAUGGCCUUUUUUAGGUGUCUAAGCUUAUUUUGUAGCUUUAAUAAACUUCUUUUGUAGCUUUAAUUAAGCUUCUUUUGUAGCUUUAAUUAGGAAGUGCAUAUUCCAUCUUGUAAGUGUACCAUUCUUUUUUCUUUCAUAAGAGAUAUGUUUGGUGAUAUCAUGGAGACAAUUGUCUGCAAUAGUGGUCCCUUCCUUUUUUGGAAGCAUGUGCAUAGCUUAUGCGUACCUUGUUGCAUUUUUUAUUUUGGUGCUUUCUAUAUAUAAUCCUUUUGCCAAUCAAAAAACAGUGUUGUCCCUUAAUAUAAAAGUUAACCAAGAGGAUUUUUAAAUUGAUUUGUUACUUCAGAGACAAGUGAAACAAUGUGAUAGAUAGAAAGAUGAGUUUGAUUUGCUACCCUGAAUCUGGUUAAACAGGCUUAGAUUUGGGGUGGAUGUAUGUGGAAAUUGGUAUUUGCAAUGAGGGAAAGCUUGCUAUUGUCAAGAGAGCAAAAGCAUGAUGAUGAUGAAGUGCAUAAACAUGUUUGGUGAUGUAAAAAUAUGGUAGAGGUGUUGAAGAUCAUCUUAAUCUCCUUCCAAAUUUGAUUGAGGCUUGAGAGUUAAAAUUUUGCCAGAUAUCGACUCAUUAUCCUUGAUAUUGAUGAGACUUUGGAGAUGUAUUGAAGAUUGAGAAGAAUUUGAAGCAAUCACCUAGUAGAAUCCUUUCUUUUCAAGUUUGGAAGGCAGCAUAUUGUACUUUGGUUCAUCAAAAUAAUAAAUCUAAUGGUAGAGAUAGUUGCUAUGUUAUAUGCCUGUUCAAUUAUCAUCCACAUAGGCUAUGUUUGCCGGUAAAAAAAUUGCCAUCUUUCUCUCUCUUUCUCUCUCUCUCUUCCCCCCUCCCCUCUUAUUAUCAUAACUCUUUCCAUGAAUAUCCAUAGCAUGUAGAGGUUCAUUUCACAAAGUAUUGUCAUGCUGGACAUGAAGCUAUUUUCUACUAUUUAUUGUCACUAUUCAGUUGCACCUGACCAACUUUUCAGUCUCACAGUGUCAUUACCAUGUCUUCACACUGUUUUUUGCUAUGAUUUUUUGUUUGAGGAGUAUGGUGGCCGGUUCAAUGUACCUGCAAUUGUUUCUGUUUAUCAGGGGCUUUGCUUCUUUUAUAUACCAUUUUGAUGAUCUGGAGAGUUCUAUUUGUUCUCGCCUUUGGACAAAAUAUACAUCCCCACCCUUUUUGUUUUUGUUUUUUUUUUCUUUUUCUAAAUAGAAAAGAGCACGUGAAAAGACCGCAUUGCACUCUUAUUCAACCUUCAUCCACCUCACCCAAAACUGUAACCAUAACUCUUUCCUCUUAUCACUUUCUUCCAUUCCUAGCCCUAAUCUCAUGGUUGUUGCAAUUGGAGCAGCCAUAGUUGCCAUUCAUGGCAAUUCCUUUGUUGUGGUUCAGUUUUCUUAUUUUUUUAAGUUUUUACUUUUUUAGUCGGGAUUUGAUAGAGCUUAAAGCAGGUGGACAAGGGCUUGCUAGAAUUGGCUAUUACAGGAGUCCCAUCUUUUAUCUUUUUUUUUUUUUUUUUUCAAAACUAAGAAGAUGAGAUUAAGGUUGGGAAGGGAAAAAAGUGAUGGAGAGGAAGGGGAAAGAGUUAGGGUUAGGGUUUUGGGUGAGGUGGAUGAAGGUUGAAGAAGAUGGCAGUGUGGUCUUUCUACAUGCCCUUUCUACUUAAAAAGAAGAAGUGGGGGUGUAUAUAUAAUCCGGUGGGGGAGUUGGAAUAGAACACCCCCUUUGGAUUUUUGUCUUUUGAACCUUAAGGCAAGUCGUUUCAAGUCAUUUUUUUCGUUCUUCUUCUUACCCACUGUUAUCUUCGGAAUCUUUCCUGUUGAAAGACUGUUGGUUCAAUUGAACUUUAUAGACAUAAAUCUGAACCAUUUUUGUAGAUGUAAGUUUGCGGAGUGUUAUCAAAGUGUAAUUUCCAAUAUGUCACAAGCUGUAACUUCAGUGCUCUGUGUAUCUGCUCUCUUUCUCUUACAGGAUUAUCAAUAAACAUAGGUAUUAGAUUUGUUUCCUGAUCAAUUUUUUUUAACUAUGACUCAUUGAUUGUUAUUCAUAGACAGCUCCAAGGUUCAGUUGGAUAGUAGUUUGGUGAAUGUAAGCUUUUCUGAUGAUAUAUUAUUAUCGGUUCAGGAUAUGUGGACACUGGAUCACCCACUGUUAGCUCCAGCAGGUCAUGGAAGUCCAUGGAAAUGGAGAUCCAAUCCUUGCUUGAGAAGCUACUUGAUACAAAUGAUGCUAUGAGCCGAUGUGCUGCAUCUGCUGCACCUACUACUUCUGUUACUCAGAAGCUAGCAAGGCAUAGAGACAUACUUCAUGAGUUUACCCAGGUUUGUCUUCUAGAACCUGUGAUUUUAGUUGCUAGCAGUCAUAUUUUAAGUUACUUUACGCAUAUCAGAAAGUUCUGUGUCUAGGAAUCAAGUAAAAUUAAUCUCACCUAAAUGUGUCUAUGAUAUACUGCUCAUUAUUACAUAUAUGGAUUAGUUUUUCAAGAUUGUAAUCAUUUUUUCUUUCUCCUUUUCUCUUGUUUAUCAAUUAAGACACUUUCUUUAAUAUAGAGAGUGUGAAAUAUAAAGGCUGUAUGUUUGAGCAUAGCAUAUAUGCUUAAUACUUUACAGCAAACAUGAUUGAUAUAAUUCUCUUCCAAUUUAUAUUUAUUAUGAAGAGCUGAAGGUAGCUUCUCAAAAAAUGCAGUUAGAAUCUACAUAUAAGUGUCAGGCUUUUCUGAUGCAAUGACACGCAUAAUAUAAGUAUAUAUACUUGCAUCUUUUUUUUUGCCUCUGUACAGGCAAUGACUAUCUCACUGUGCUCUCAUCUUAUCUAAAUAUGUAUCUUUGUGGAGAUUUUUGGUAUAAGAGACAUAACAGUGUACGGUUAGAAUCACUUGGCAAUAGGGGGGCAUAUAUCAGUUAAGAAAAAGGUAACCAAACAACCCCAUUCAGGCUAGGUUGUACAAGAUCAGCUACUAUGAAUAUCCUAAUAAAGUCAAUUGAGAAGAGAAUAGACAUUUAAUCAAAUCUACCUAACUGUUUUGCAUGGAAGAUCACAAGAAUCAUAAUGCAAUAAGGCUAUAAACAUCAACUUUAAAAGAACUAUGUAUGUCCUCCAUAGCAUAUUAGAGGAUUAUAUUGGUGGCACUAACCCUUUGAACUUCUAAAGACCUAAUACUGGACAGUGACCUGGCUAGAUUUGAACUCAACUUGAAACUGAGUUGGUUCUAACAUCUUUCCUCUGAAUCUGAUUCGACCCUGAUUGUAUGGAUCUCAAACCUGCACUGAUCACAAUGGAGUGGGAUGCCCAAUUAACUCUUCUGGUCUCAAUCCAGUGAUCCACACCUUGGACUGAGCUAGUCAGAAUCUGUCCUAACUUUUAAUAGGCCUUAAACAUGGUCUGGUGUUCUGCCUAGCCUAAAGUAUUGCGUGUAUAGUUAUGUAUUUAAUUAUGCAGAUGUGCUUACAGCUGAAAUUAGACUUCUUUAGAAGAAAAUAGGAGGGACAAAUCUCUUAGAUAGGUUAUGUUGGCAAUGGUGGUGGUGUAGUGCCAGCGAAAGCUUUGAUGCCAACAAUGUUAGUUCAAGAACACAAAGAUAAAACAAUCACACAUACGGUACACGAGGUUUUAACGUGGUUCGGCCAACCAUGCCUACGUCCACGGAUGAGAGAGAAUAAUUCCACUAUACAAUAGAGAAUAUUACAGAGGAUAAAACCAGAUACAACUAUUGGGUUCCCGAAACAUCCCAUGUUUCCCCACUCCUUGUAUCCAUACCUUACUACGAGCCCUCUCGCUCCACCAGGUACCUCCUGUUCUUCCUCACAUCUCUAUCCACCUCGUAUAGUCUCUAUAGGCCCAUCUCCAUCUCAUAACUUUUUCCCCUCAUGACCUAGAAUAUUUAUAGAGAUAUUUCCAACAACCUUCCUUAUUCUAUAAGGAAGUCUAAUAUUACAAUAAUAUAUCAACCUAGAAAUAUUCUAUACAAUAUUCUUUACAAAAAGGAAUAUUUACUAAUUAGGAAUUUGGGACAAUUCCCAACAGGUGGCUACCUAGGGAUGAUAUUUAGAGUUGGAGUCAAAGAAAAUCUUCUAGUCCACUGGGCCUCGGGGUGCAGCUAUGUUCAUGAGCCUUAUAAUUGAGCUUUAUUUUUGUCAUGUUGAACCAAGGUUGGUGGGUUGGUGUGUUUCAACAAGGUUGUUAUCGAUUGCGAAUCUCAAGUUUUGAGGAAAGCAUUUGAUUUGGUGAUUCCCAUUUUCAUAAUUGAUCUCCUUCUAGCAAAACAAAGCUAGUUAUAUUUUUGUCUUUUCAUGCUUUAGUUAGGUGACAACAUGAGUUAUGCUCUAGUCUGUGUUAAAAUAUAUGAUCUUUGCCUGUCAAAAAAGAAAAAAAUUAUGCUCUGUUAAUUUAGCUGCACUGCUAGUCCCAAAAGGAGACAAGGUGGGAGCUACAAUCAGUUAAAAUGCAGCAUAGAACUCAAUAAAACCAUCAAUUAUCUAUUCUUUGUCAGAUUUUGAAAAAUGUACUUUUGGGAAAAAUGUGUUUUGCUAUACGCUUUUGGAAAAAAAAAUAGAAAAGUGCAUGAAAUCCUAAUUAUUUUCAGUUGAAUAUAUUAUAUUUGGAUUUUAUAAAUGUGGGUUCCUGUUUUCCAUUGUUUUUUCAGAAGUGUGUACCAAAACACACUUUUCCCUAUAAUUUUUAUUUGCAUAGUUCAUACAAGAAUGGUUAGUUGGAAGGAAAACAAUUCUGAUCUAUUAGAUGCAUAUGUGGUAUCAUAUGUAAUUUUACUUUUUUUAUUUUUAUUUUUAUUUUUUUAUCUUGAAAGCAUAAAUCUCCAGAAUGUUUCUAGGGAUGGUCAGCAGUUCAGAUGACUUUCAUUUUCUCAUCAAAUUGAUUAAGCAACUCUCAAGGAAAUGUCCUUUUUCAAGCAGCUACACUAAUAGUAUCAAUCAUGAGGCUCAAGCUUCCAAAGUUUCCAAUUUGUUUCUGUUGUGAAUCAUGAAAGAAAAAGAAAAGGUUUAAGAAGAGUCUUUUGCUUUUGUAAUCCACCAUUUCCAUAUGUUCAUUUUCUUCUCAUUCCACUACUGAUUUUUAUUCUGUUAGCUGUAUUUCACACUGUUCAGAACACCCCUGCUUGGCAUUUGAUUGACCCAACUUAAAAUCUUGAAAAGCAAUUUUCUUUUGCUCUGUUAGCAGAUUUUAAGAGGCUUUAGAAUUGGUGUUCUUAUUUCUUUGCAUGGUGUUUCUAGGUCAUACUGACACUGAUAUGGUAGUCUAAUGCAUCUUUUUUUAGGUUUUCUAACUGACUGAUUAGACACUCUCAACUGUACCCUGCUGCUUGCAUCCUUGGCAUAACCAUUUUAGCGCUAGAAUAGGCAUUUUAUCACUGUGUAAUGAAUUGCUUUAUGUCAGCUAUUCCUUUGAAAUAAAUGCUCUAGAUUUCUGUAGGAAUUUAGACGGAUCAAGGGAAACAUGAACUCAAUGAGGGAACAUGCAGAGCUUCUGAGUUCUGUCAGGGAUGAUAUCAGUGAAUACAAGGUGAUCAAGAUUAAAAUGGAAAAUUAUAUUGUCAUACUGUUAUUAUAUAGUUAUAUUUUCUCAAUACUUGGUCAAUUUUAUCCUCCUUCCUUGCAGGCAUCUGGGAGUAUGUCACCUAGAAUGCAGUUACUACGAGAGAGGGCUGCUAUCCAUGGAAGCAUAUCCCAUGUAAGACUUAAAUGCUGCUCCUCUUUGCUCCUUAAAUACGUCAGCAAGAAAAGUUCCCCUGGGAUUUCUUCGUCUCCUUCUUCUCAGUUUCAUAUGACAUAAUGGAAUAGGAAAUUAGGAUUUUGAGAUGGUGAGUAUCAAUACAAGAGAAGAUAAAAGGAGAAAUAACUACAUUUGUUUGAAGCUUAGAGGUAACACCAAUUGAGAAUAAGAUGAAAGAAGUUGCCUAGGAUGGUUAUAUCUCAAUUGGUGAACGAAAUUGCCUAGGAUGGUUGUGUCAUGUGCAACAAAGACUAAUUACUGCACUAUUAACCUUUUUAUCUUUCUUUUCUGGCUAUCAAAAAAUUAGUGAACUAAUUGAAAUUGCUACAAAGACCAUGAUAGGUUAAAAAUGACAUGUAGUGAGGAAAAAACACAAUCACCAGUGAUUUACCAGAUAAUAUGGGUUUAGAUAAAGUUGAAUUACAGAAAAGGUUCAUGCAGCCAACACUGUGCUGGCAGGAUAUAAGUAUUUGUUGAAACCUAAUGGACAAUGGAGUAAAGUUAUUUUGCAGUUCUUGUAUGAUGAUGUGUUGAGGUACUGGAUUUUUACAUAAUUUUUUUUUGAAAAUUUCCAAGUAGUUGCAUGAACUUGGCUUCAUUUGACUUUGAGUAGGGUGCCCAAAUUGAAUUAAAAUUGAUCUGGUCCAGAAAAAAAUUGUUUUAAAUCUGGAAAAUUGGCUCUUAAAUGGUUGCCAAAAAUUGCUUAUUGCUAGUUCCACUUCUUUCACCAAUCUUUUAGUUAGCAAAUAUAAAAUUAUAUACAUCUUUUUACCCUAGGAGAGUUAUUUUUAGAGUGGUUGUAUUGCUAUUUAUAUAUAUUGUCUCUUGACAUUCUUUGGAAGAGCUAACUCCCUAUUUUACAUAUCUAUGAUCUAGUUGCAAUGACAUAGAGAUCUUAUACAUGGUCUCUACCAAGAAUUUUGUCCGUUUAUUUUUUUAUUCUUCAAAACCUUGGCUCUUAAAAGUGAACUCUCUUACACAAUCUGUCAGAGAAAAUUAGGCUUUUUUCCCCUUAUUUUUGCUGGAUUUAUAGAACACAAGGCUAACUCAGAAAACCUCUUGGAUUAACCAUCAACCAUCCACUGUCUUGAUUAUCAGGCCAUGUGAUGGUCGUGUUGUUUGUAAAGUUAUUUCUUGCAAGGGCAAUAAUAUUUUUGUGAAAAGUUCAAGUGAAUCCAUUAUUAUUUGUAUUCUUAGAUCAUAUGAAGUUCUUAAUCAUUUGUGUAGAGGUGAAAUUUUGAGAUGAUUGUGCUCUCCCUCUCAAUACGCACACUCAUAUUCUAUCACGCUUAUGUUGGUGGAUGUAAUAGGUUAAUCUAUCACUGCAAUAACCUUGUCAUGAUAGUCUAUUUGUCAUUGGCUACAAAAACAAAGCCACUUAGGGAAUGCUUGAAGCACAACAUCAGUUUGUGGGUGGUCCAUUUCACACUGAAUUUCCUUUUGUAGAGCUGGAUUUACUAGCUUUAUUAUUAUUAUUAUUAUUAUGUUGUUGUUGUUGUUGUUUUGUUCUUUUUUUUUUUUUUUUUUUUUUUUUGUGAGGGUUACUUGUAAGGAUAUCUAGCAAUACAACCUUCUAAAAUAAGGUCAACCUUGAGAGCUCUAUGAAUACCAUUGCAGCAACAGCAUGUUGGUGUGUGGCUAGAAACUGACUUUUAACUAAUAAGAUAUUUGCUAUCCUCUUUUAUCCAAAAGCUGAAAAUCUUUUUCCACGUGGUGAUGUUGGGUUCACUUUUGUGCAGAUAGAUGAUGUGAUUAGUCAAGCUCAAACGACAAGGGCUGCCUUGAACUCUCAAAGAACUUUGUUUGGGGAUUUUCAAGGGAAAGUGAAACUAUUAAGUGACAAGUUCCCUAUAAUCCGUGGCCUGCUUGGUAUAUUACUGAAGUCAUCUGUGGUACUGAAAUCAAUCUUCUUAAGUUCCUUCAUUAAUCUUGCACAUCAUGUUUGCAGGUUCAAUCAGGAGGCGGCGAUCAAGAGAUACUCUCAUUCUCUCUGCAGUGAUCGCGGCUUGUACGUUGUUCUUGAUUAUCUAUUGGCUUUCAAAAUGACCAGACAUGCAAUUUAUUGUUUUGGAACUAUAACAAUUGUGCUUUCCUAGGGAAUUUUGCUUCUGUAGUUUUGUGAUAACAAAUCAAGCUCACUGUUUUAACACUUGGUGAUACCCUUUUGUGGUGCCAUCAUUCAACAAAUUUCUUUCUGUUUCAUAAGCAUUUACUCUUCUAAACUCCUCAAUCAUGUAUACUGACAUUGUACCAGAAAAUGGUUUGAGGGAGAAAAAAGAAGACAGUGAUCUGCAAGUGGAACACUGAAACUGAGACAGUGUUUCACUACCAUAUCUCUUAUGGCUACGGCUAUCCGCCCCACCCCCGGACCAGCCUGAUCCUCCUUGCUCUCUAGCUCUACCGUGUCACAGGGGGUGCUAAAAAAACUAGGUUAAUGAUUGGCAUGUGAGACAUUUACUGUGUUGGUGGUACAUGUGGGUGAUAGGUACUUAACUUGCUGUUAUGUCACUUUUGCCAUGUCUUCUACUCUUGUCCCUGUCUGUGGUCCUAGAUGGUGGGUGUGCCCAUGGUACACAACCAAACCUUCACUUUUCUGAAUGGGCUUCAUCUUCUUUUUUGUUCCUCACUGAAACAUGUCUCCAUAGUAAACUUUCCUUCAUUAGCUUUUCAUCCAAUCAUCCUUCACAACUCAGUUUGGUAAUAGGUCCCCAGGAGCUUGUUUUGAAAUUUGAAGUGGUUGGCUUCAAAUCUUUUCAGGUUUGCAUGAUCUGAAAUGCUAAAAGAGUCAACCAUAGGGACAGUUUAUAGGCCAAACCCUGAUAGCUCUGCACAGGGAGAGAUGCUUUAGGCUUUGUAAAGUUAAUAUGAUUCUUUGGCCAACUUCCCUUUGUCUUCUACUUCUUUGGCAUCACAUCAUAAUCCUUGCUGAUAACUAGUAUUUUAUUAAUCUACCAUUUUAGUUCCAUUCAUUAAUAAAAAGAUUGCAAAUUUGAGAAAUAUUGAUAGUUGGAUUCUACGGAAAUAUGGAUGACAAAUCAAAAUUUCUUUUUUUGAGAUGGAAAUUAAUCAAAUUUUAUAAAAAUAUUAUUUUUUUAAUAAAUAAUAAAAUAAGUAAUGUAUAUAUUUAUUUAUAAGAUAAAAUUUGUGACAUUAAGAAAUAAUAUGUAAAACUAAAAACAUAUUUAAUACUAAAUGAUGUUGAAAAGAUUAUCAUUGAUGAUUUUUAUAUUUUUAAUGGGUAGUUUAAUGGAAUUUGAAAGUAAGAUAAUUAAAAUUUAUUUAUUUAUUAUUUUUGUAAUAUAAAUUUUAUAAAAUAUUUGGUUUUUUACCUGGAUAAAAAACUAGUAUUAAUACUAGUAUUUAUGACGGGAUAAAUUAAGUUUUAUCAAUUUUUGUGUGGUAAUAAUGUAUGAACAAUAAUUAGUUUGGUGGUAAACCGCUCUUACAUGAUAAUUUGAUUUAGGGGUUAUGUUUAUGUCGUGUCCAAGCCUAAGUAUCCUACUAUAUAACUCAACCAAAACCCGAAACUACUAAUAAUAGUAUAAAAAACAUAAAUCUAAAUACUACUUAAUUAUUUAACCCAUAACAUGUUGUGUAA
Molecule: long non-coding RNA, 33727 nt
Filed under: Vitis vinifera (wine grape)
Lineage: Eukaryota; Viridiplantae; Streptophyta; Magnoliopsida; Vitales; Vitaceae
Description: long non-coding RNA (VVIN_LNC005162)
Source: RNAcentral